AUUGAACGCUGGCGGCAUGCCUUACACAUGCAAGUCGAACGGCAGCACGGGGGCAACCCUGGUGGCGAGUGGCGAACGGGUGAGUAAAGCAUCGGAACGUACCCGGAAGUGGGGGAUAACGUAGCGAAAGUUACGCUAAUACCGCAUAUUCUGUGAGCAGGAAAGAGGGGGAUCGCAAGACCUCUCGCUUUCGGAGCGGCCGAUGUCGGAUUAGCUAGUUGGUGGGUAAAGGCCUACCAAGGCGACGAUCCGUAGCUGGUCUUAGAGGAUGAUCAGCCACACUGGGACUGAGACACGGCCCAGACUCCUACGGGAGGCAGCAGUGGGGAAUUUUGGGACAAUGGGGGCAACCCUGAUCCAGCCAUGCCGCGUGAGUGAAGAAGGCCUCGGUUGUAAGACUCUUCGGUACAGAAAGAAAUACGCACAGGAUAAUAACCUUAGUGUGGAUGACGGUACGUGUCAUAAGAAGACACCGGCUAACUAACGUGCCAGCAGCCGCGGUAA
RNAcentral lists this ribosomal RNA (504 nucleotides) under uncultured bacterium. RNAcentral's name for it is "bacterial SSU rRNA". It matches the Rfam family "Bacterial small subunit ribosomal RNA", at positions 30 to 523 of the family's 1533-position model. The record is from RNAcentral.